UAUUAUUAAUAACCUAUAAUAAGAAUUGGAAAAUACGAACAACUGUUUAAACACCAAAGAAUUUGGCGGUGUCUUACUCUAUUAGGGGAACCUGUCCUAUAAUUCGAUAAUCCACGUAUAAAUUACCUAAUUUACAAAUUCAGUUAGUGUACUGCCGUCUUAAGUAUACCUUUAUGAGAGUAUACCACAAAUUAUACAUUGAUAUUACGUCAGGUCAAAGUGCUACCUACAAUUAGGAUGGGAUGGGUUACAAUCUUUAUAUAGAUACAGAAUAAAAUAUGAAUAUAUUUUAUGAAGGUGGACUUAAUAGUAAUUAUAUAUAAUAUAAUGAAAAUCAUAAUAAGACAAGU
Molecule: ribosomal RNA, 350 nt
Filed under: Haementeria officinalis (Mexican leech)
Lineage: Eukaryota; Metazoa; Annelida; Clitellata; Rhynchobdellida; Glossiphoniidae
Description: partial 12S ribosomal RNA
Source: RNAcentral